Molecule: long non-coding RNA, 549 nt
Organism: Chinchilla lanigera (long-tailed chinchilla)
Lineage: Eukaryota; Metazoa; Chordata; Mammalia; Rodentia; Chinchillidae
Exons: 4
Source: RefSeq, a predicted model, not a curated record
GACUAAUCUCUGGAAAAUGAACAGACAUUUCAGACUUGAUGAUUCUUACAAAGAAGCAGAUUUUUCAGGGUAGUAACCUGAGAUACUAUAACUCCAUGUAAAGAACCCUAAGACGUGCAUUUCAGGAUCAUGACUUACUUGUGAGAGAAGAGGCAAUCUGUGCCCUGCAAGGGACUAAGAUGUCAAGAGAAGGGAUUGAGAGAACUAUGGCAGGGAAAGAGGGAAGGAGCAUGGGAAGAGAAAUCGACAAACAUAUUCAAGGUAUUCAAGACAUCUAAGACAUAAGUGGAAGAGGAAACCACAAAAUAAAUGGCAGUGAUGGAAACAGCUUGUGAUUGGCAGAGCUUCACUUCUCAGAAAGCAAACCUCCCAUUCAGAAGUGUCACCAGAAAUUGCCAAAAGGGACUCAAAGAGACCCACCCUAAAAUUCAUGCUGGAGCAGGAACAAGAAAAAGCAACUAACAAAUGAAACGUGAGAGGAAGCUGGUAAUUAUUCCCACAAUCUUCUUCAGGUGAAGGAAUAAGAGUGCUACUCGUUUUCUUCUUUCU